CGGAAGGAUCAUUAACGAGAGGGGUUUUCGGACCCCGGGGCUUCGCCCCUAACUCUUCACCCUCUGCUUACGUACCAUUGUUGCUUUGGCGGGCCCUGGGGUUCGCCCCUGGCCGGCCGGUGGUUUAGCGGCCCCGGCUCGCUCGUGCCCGCCAGAGGCCCAUUAAACCCAACCUUAUCCUUUGACGUCCGAGCAAAAAUACAAUCGUAAAAACUUUCAACAACGGAUCUCUUGGUUCUGGCAUCGAUGAAGAACGCAGCGAAAUGCGAUAAGUAAUGUGAAUUGCAGAAUUCAGUGAAUCAUCGAAUCUUUGAACGCACAUUGCGCCCCUCGGUAUUCCGGGGGGCAUGCCUGUUCGAGCGUCAUUACACCCCUCAAGCUCCGCUUGGUAUUGGGUCUUCGCUCUUCGGGGCGGGCCCGAAAGUUAGUGGCGGCCCGGCGUGACUUCGAGCGUAGUAAUUUUUCUCCCGCUCUGGAAGCUCGCGCCGUGACCGGCCAGAACGCCCAAAUUUUUCAAUGAU
RNAcentral lists this ribosomal RNA (521 nucleotides) under Protoparmeliopsis zareii. RNAcentral's name for it is "eukaryotic LSU rRNA". The stretch from base 212 to 365 matches the Rfam family "5.8S ribosomal RNA". Lineage: Eukaryota; Fungi; Ascomycota; Lecanoromycetes; Lecanorales; Lecanoraceae. The record is from RNAcentral.